CGGCGGCGGGAGGCAGGAUGA
This 21-nucleotide unclassified non-coding RNA is filed under the name Mus musculus (house mouse). Its description in RNAcentral is "oocyte_clustered_small_RNA399". The record is from RNAcentral. Lineage: Eukaryota; Metazoa; Chordata; Mammalia; Rodentia; Muridae.